RNAcentral lists this unclassified non-coding RNA (379 nucleotides) under plant metagenome. Its description in RNAcentral is "partial contains 5.8S ribosomal RNA, internal transcribed spacer 2, and large subunit ribosomal RNA". The stretch from base 1 to 106 matches the Rfam family "5.8S ribosomal RNA", at positions 49 to 154 of the family's 154-position model. The record is from RNAcentral.
CGAAAUGCGAUAAGUAAUGUGAAUUGCAGAAUUCAGUGAAUCAUCGUAUCUUUGAACGCACCUUGCGCUCCUUGGUAUUCCUUGGAGCAUGCCUGUUUGAGUAUCAUGAAAUCUUCAAAGUAAAUCUUUUGUUAACUCAAUUGGUUUCUACUUUGGUAUUGGAGGUCUUUGCAGCUUCACACCUGCUCCUCUUUGUUCAUUAGCUGGAUCUCAGUGUUAUGCUUGGUUCCACUCGGCGUGAUAAGUUAUCUAUCGCUGAGGACACUGUAAAAGGUGGCCAAGGUAAAUGCAGAUGAACCGCUUCUAAUAGUCCAUUGACUUGGACAAUACUUUUAUGAUCUGAUCUCAAAUCAGGUAGGACUACCCGCUGAACUUAAGC